AACAUUGCUUAGUUUUGCACGACAUCAUUUGUUUCCAUUUACCGUAUGAAUAAAACUUUGAUGAACGUAAAGAUAUGUUGUACUUCUGCAAAUUGAUAUUAUGUUUCAUAAUUCUGAAAUUUCCAGUAAAUAUUAUCAAUCUAUGUAAAGGACUUCAUAAUAUAUGUUAUGAGUUAAGUACUCUAAUAGGAUUACUACUAUACUACAAAACUUUAUUUGUUUUGAUUUUAUGGUUAUAACAGUUCUAUGCAAAAUCAUGUCAAGGGCAUUAACAUAUUUUUGAUGUCACAAUUUAAAUUGCAGAUUUGUAUCCUUGAAAAAUACAUUCACAUGUCAGUCAGUAUAUGAGUGGUGUAUUAGUUCAAAAGGUCAUGUUCGGUUUUCAUAGCUAG
RNAcentral lists this long non-coding RNA (392 nucleotides) under Mytilus galloprovincialis (Mediterranean mussel). The record is from RNAcentral. Lineage: Eukaryota; Metazoa; Mollusca; Bivalvia; Mytilida; Mytilidae.